This is a long non-coding RNA of Polypterus senegalus (gray bichir), 556 nucleotides long. RefSeq lists it as uncharacterized. NCBI's taxonomy places the organism in Eukaryota, Metazoa, Chordata, Cladistia, Polypteriformes, Polypteridae. The record is from RefSeq and is a predicted model, not a curated record. The transcript is spliced from 3 exons.
UCUGUGUGCCGCCUGAAACUACACAUCACCAUUUCUCAGGGCUGGUUUGCUGCAUUGUGUCCAAUGCCGCUUAGAAGCACUAGAUGCCAAUGACUUUGUAAGCAGGCUGAGAACAUGAAUGAAUGAAUAAAAUGGGAGAUGCACAUGAAAUAAAUAGCUAAGUGCAGAGAAACCGCCCAGUGAUGGCAACUAACUACACUCCUUCUGGUACCUGGGCUACAAAAGCACGACUGCCCCAAAAGAAGUGUCAUUUCUUGUCUAGGCAUUCCGACCAACAGCACUCCACAUUCAAAUAACGACUGAAGAAACCACUAAGAAAGAAUAAACCACAUUGUUACUGUGGCAGCGUUUUCUGUUUUUUUUUUUGAGUGCCAUCAUGCAUUAUUUUUGUUUAAAAACUUUAAGUAAACAGGGACGGCUGGAUUGGCGCCCCAAAAUGUACUUGCCUAUCAGCCUGUCAUUCUCUUGGAUGACCACAAUGCAGCAACAUAACAAUGUCAAUCAGCUCUGGCAAUGCAGUUAGAUAACUGGUCCAGAAGAAGGCCCCAACUUGUUA